GCCUAGAUAGCUUAGUUGGUAGUGCGUCUGCCUUGUAAGCGCUAGGCCGGCGGGUUCGAUUCCCGCCCGGGGCG
Molecule: transfer RNA, 74 nt
Filed under: Diaphorina citri (Asian citrus psyllid)
Lineage: Eukaryota; Metazoa; Arthropoda; Insecta; Hemiptera; Psyllidae
Rfam family: tRNA
About the family: Transfer RNA (tRNA) molecules are approximately 80 nucleotides in length. Their secondary structure includes four short double-helical elements and three loops (D, anti-codon, and T loops). Further hydrogen bonds mediate the characteristic L-shaped molecular structure. tRNAs have two regions of fundamental functional importance: the anti-codon, which is responsible for specific mRNA codon recognition, and the 3' end, to which the tRNAs corresponding amino acid is attached (by aminoacyl-tRNA synthetases). tRNAs cope with the degeneracy of the genetic code in two manners: having more than one tRNA (with a specific anti-codon) for a particular amino acid; and 'wobble' base-pairing, i.e. permitting non-standard base-pairing at the 3rd anti-codon position.
Source: Rfam by way of RNAcentral